CACGGGGUUGCGAGCGUUGUCCGGAAUUACUGGGCGUAAAGGGUGCGUAGGUGGUUUCUUAAGUCAGAGGUGAAAGGCUACGGCUCAACCGUAGUAAGCUCUUGAAACUGUAAGACUUGAGUGCAGGAGAGGAGAGUGGAAUUCCUAGUGUAGCGGUGAAAUGCGUAGAUAUUAGGAGGAACACCAGUUGCGAAGGCGGCUCUCUGGACUGUAACUGACGCUGAGGCACGAAAGCGUGGGGAGCAAACAGGAUUAGAUACCCUGGUAGUCCCU
This 273-nucleotide ribosomal RNA is filed under the name uncultured prokaryote. RNAcentral describes it as "partial 16S ribosomal RNA". It matches the Rfam family "Bacterial small subunit ribosomal RNA", at positions 524 to 798 of the family's 1533-position model. The record is from RNAcentral.